Hyla sarda is the source of this 563-nucleotide long non-coding RNA. RefSeq lists it as uncharacterized. The record is from RefSeq and is a predicted model, not a curated record. Lineage: Eukaryota; Metazoa; Chordata; Amphibia; Anura; Hylidae. The transcript has 3 exons.
UACACAGAUGUCAAAGAUGCUUCAAGUGGUGUUGCAGUCCUAUGUAAACCCCAACAAUUACACAACCUUUUGCAAUGGAGGGCUGCACUUGGUGGUAGUGUGGUGCGAUCCUCUGGGUGCUUCCCAGUUUACUUUGUGCUGGCUGGGGAAGUCGGGGUGCCCUUAAUGUUGUGGCUAAAAUAAAAGAGAAAUACAGCGCUCUGUGGUGUGAUAAAGUUAAAUACCAAGGAUGAUAUUUUUAAUACGUAAACUGCUCAACGAUGUGGGUUGUACCAACCAAGUACAACAUUGGAUAUAGUGUGUAAGCUGUUGCCGGGACCCUGCAGCCAAUCCAAGCCUCAUAUGUAGCAUGCAAACAAAGAACCUCCGGAGAAAAGGGCUGGAUUACAAAGGGCGUUGGGAGCCAGAUACCUAAGCAAAGCAGGAAGCACCAUUGGCAGCUCUUGGCAAUAUGUCCAUUGACACAAUACAGCAAUGAAAGUUUCAUCAUCUGCAGAAUGACCUGCCAGAUAUCUGUUUGCGGUAAGCCAAGUUUACAAGAAUUAAAAUAUUGUGAAUUCAAC